UACGUAGGGGGCAAGCGUUGUCCGGAUUUAUUGGGCGUAAAGAGCGUGUAGGCGGUUUGGUAGGUCCGCUGUGAAAACUCGAGGCUCAACCUCGAGACGCCGGUGGAAACCAUCAGACUAGAGUCCGGAAGAGGAGAGUGGAAUUCCUGGUGUAGCGGUGAAAUGCGCAGAUAUCAGGAAGAACACCCGUGGCUAAGGCGGCUCUCUAGUACGGUACUGACGCUGAGACGCGAAAGCAUGGGGAGCAAACAGG
This 253-nucleotide ribosomal RNA is filed under the name uncultured bacterium. RNAcentral describes it as "partial 16S ribosomal RNA". It matches the Rfam family "Bacterial small subunit ribosomal RNA", at positions 524 to 776 of the family's 1533-position model. The record is from RNAcentral.